GGUUCGAUCCUGGCUCAGAUUGAACGCUGGCGGGAUGCUUUACACAUGCAAGUCGGAAUUUUAAAGGCACGGACUUCGGUCUGGUGGCGAGUGGCGAACGGGUGAGUAAUGUAUCGGAACGUGCCUAGUAGCGGGGAUAACUGCCGAGUUGUGAAGCAUUACCGCUACUGCCCUUCGGGGGAAAGCGGGGACCUUCGGGCCUCGCACUAUUAGAAGUACGGGAUAUCGGAUUAGCUAGUUGCGUAACGGCUCACUACUAAGGCGACGAUCCGUAGCUGGUCAGAGAGGACGACCAGCCACACUGGGACUGAGACACGCCUCAGACUCUACGGAGGCAGCAGUGGGGAAUUUUGGACAAUGGGGAAACUCCUGAUCCAGCCAUCCCGCGUGUGCGAUGAAGGCCCUUCGGGUUGUAAAGCACUUUUUGGCAGGAAAGGAAAUGCACGGAUAAUACCCCGUGCAACUGAUUGGGUACCUGCAGAAUAAGCACCGGCUAACUACGUGCCAGCAGCUGCGGUAAUACGUAGGCGUGGGCGUUAAUCGGAAUUAUUGGGCGUAAAGCGUAAGGUAUAAGGGUUCGGAAAGAAAAGAUGUGAAAUCCAGAGCUUAACUUUGGAACUGCAUUUUUAACUACCGAGCUAGAGUGUGUCAGGAGGGAGGUGGAAUUCCGCGUGUAGCAGUGAAAUGCGUAGAUAUGCGGAGGAACACCGAUGGCGAAGGCAGCCUUGGGAUAACAUCACUGACGCUCAUGCACGAAAGCGUGGGGAGCAACAGGAUUAGAUACCUCUGGUAGUCCACGCCCUAAACGAUGUCAACUAGCUGUUGGGGCCUUCGGCCUUGGUAGCGCAGCUAACGCGUGAAGUUGACCGCCUGGGGAGUACGGUCGCAAGAUUAAAACUCAAAGGAAUUGACGGGGACCCGCACAAGCGGUGGAUGAUGUGGAUUAAUUCGAUGCAACGCGAAAACCUUUACCUACCCUUGACAUGUCUGGAAUCCCGAAGAGAUUGGGAGUGCUCGCAAGAGAACCGGAACACAGGUGCUGCAUGGCUGUCGCCGUCAGGUCGAGAUGUUGCCAAGUCCCGCAAUGAGUUGCGCAACCCUUGUCAUUAGUUGCUACGAAAGGGCACUCUAAUGAGACUGCCGGUGACAAACCGAGCAGCGGGGAUAGUCAAGUCCUCACACCCUUUAUGGGUAGGGCUUCACACGUCAUACAAUGGGAUACCGGACAGAGGGUCGCCAACCCGCGAGGGGGGAGCCAAUCCCAGAAACCCGAUCAACCGAUCGCAGUCUGCAACUCUCGACUGCGUGAAGUCGGAAUCGCUAGUAAUCGCGGAUCAGCAUGUCGCGGUGAAUACGUUCCCGGGUCUUGCGCUACACACCGCCCGUCACACCAUGGGAGUGGGUUUUACCAGAAGUAGUUAGCCUAACCGUAAGGGAGACAUUACCACGGUAGGAUUCAUGACUGGGGUGAAGUCGUAACAAGGUAG
This 1487-nucleotide ribosomal RNA is filed under the name uncultured Bordetella sp. RNAcentral's name for it is "partial 16S-23S ribosomal RNA intergenic spacer". It matches the Rfam family "Bacterial small subunit ribosomal RNA". Lineage: Bacteria; Pseudomonadati; Pseudomonadota; Betaproteobacteria; Burkholderiales; Alcaligenaceae. The record is from RNAcentral.